CCUACAGGUGGCAGCAGUGAGGAAUAUUGGUCAAUGGGCGCAAGCCUGAACCAGCCAAGUCGCGUGAGGGAAGACGGUCCUAUGGAUUGUAAACCUCUUUUGUCGGGGAGCAAAAGACGCCACGCGUGGCGUUCCGAGAGUACCCGAAGAAAAAGCAUCGGCUAACUCCGUGCCAGCAGCCGCGGUAAUACGGAGGUUGCGAGCGUUAUCCGGAUUUAUUGGGUUAAAGGGGUGCGCAGGCGGAGGCUCAAGUCAGCGGUAAAGUUGGGAGGCCCAACCUGUUCGAGCCGUUGAAACUGGUUUUCUUGAGUGAGUGAGAGGUAUGCGGAAUGCGUGGUGUAGCGGUGAAAUGCAUAGAUAUCACGCAGAACUCCGAUUGCGAAGGCAGCAUACCGGCGCUCAACUGACGCUCAUGCACGAAAGUGUGGGUAUCGAACAGGAUUAGAUACCCGGGUAGUC
This 459-nucleotide ribosomal RNA is filed under the name uncultured bacterium. RNAcentral describes it as "partial 16S ribosomal RNA". It matches the Rfam family "Bacterial small subunit ribosomal RNA", at positions 338 to 795 of the family's 1533-position model. The record is from RNAcentral.